UUAAAAAGCUCGUAGUUGGAUUUCUGCCGAGGACGACCGGUCCGCCCUCUGGGUGAGUAUCUGGCUCGGCCUGGGCAUCUUCUUGGAGAACGUAGCUGCACUUGACUGUGUGGUGCGGUAUCCAGGACUUUUACUUUGAGGAAAUUAGAGUGUUUCAAGCAGGCACAUGCCUUGAAUACAUUAGCAUGGAAUAAUAAGAUAGGACCUCGGUUCUAUUUUGUUGGUUUCUAGAGCUGAGGUAAUGAUUAAUAGGGAUAGUUGGGGGC
RNAcentral lists this ribosomal RNA (266 nucleotides) under uncultured marine eukaryote. RNAcentral describes it as "partial 18S ribosomal RNA". It matches the Rfam family "Eukaryotic small subunit ribosomal RNA", at positions 619 to 889 of the family's 1831-position model. The record is from RNAcentral.